CUAUACAUGCCAAGUCCGAGCGGACAGAAGGGAGCUUGCUCCCGGAUGUUAGCGGCGGACGGGUGAGUAACACGUGGGUAACCUGCCUGUAAGACUGGGAUAACUCCGGGAAACCGGAGCUAAUACCGGAUAGUUCCUUGAACCGCAUGGUUCAAGGAUGAAAGACGGUUUCGGCUGUCACUUACAGAUGGACCCGCGGCGCAUUAGCUAGUUGGUGAGGUAACGGCUCACCAAGGCGACGAUGCGUAGCCGACCUGAGAGGGUGAUCGGCCACACUGGGACUGAGACACGGCCCAGACUCCUACGGGAGGCAGCAGUAGGGAAUCUUCCGCAAUGGACGAAAGUCUGACGGAGCAACGCCGCGUGAGUGAUGAAGGUUUUCGGAUCGUAAAGCUCUGUUGUUAGGGAAGAACAAGUGCAAGAGUAACUGCUUGCACCUUGACGGUACCUAACCAGAAAGCCACGGCUAACUACGUGCCAGCAGCCGCGGUAAUACGUAGGUGGCAAGCGUUGUCCGGAAUUAUUGGGCGUAAAGGGCUCGCAGGCGGUUUCUUAAGUCUGAUGUGAAAGCCCCCGGCUCAACCGGGGAGGGUCAUUGGAAACUGGGAAACUUGAGUGCAGAAGAGGAGAGUGGAAUUCCACGUGUAGCGGUGAAAUGCGUAGAGAUGUGGAGGAACACCAGUGGCGAAGGCGACUCUCUGGUCUGUAACUGACGCUGAGGAGCGAAAGCGUGGGGAGCGAACAGGAUUAGUUUUGUUGUUUUUCAA
This 767-nucleotide ribosomal RNA is filed under the name Bacillus pumilus. RNAcentral's name for it is "bacterial SSU rRNA". It matches the Rfam family "Bacterial small subunit ribosomal RNA", at positions 49 to 797 of the family's 1533-position model. Lineage: Bacteria; Bacillati; Bacillota; Bacilli; Caryophanales; Bacillaceae. The record is from RNAcentral.